ACUGCUCAGUAACACGUGGACAACCUGCCCAAAGGUCCGGGAUAACCCCGGGAAACUGGGGAUAAUACCGGAUAAAUCACAAGUACUGGAAGGUUUUGUGGUUGAAACUUCCGGGGCCUUUGGAUGGGUCUGCGGCUGAUUAGGUUGUUGCCGGUGUAACGUACCGUCAAGCCUGUAAUCAGUACGGGUUGUGGGAGCAAGAGCCCGGAGAUGGAUUCUGAGACACGAAUCCAGGCCCUACGGGGCGCAGCAGGCGCGAAAACUCUACAAUGCAGGCAACUGCGAUAGGGGAACAUCGAGUGAAACUCAUCUUGGGUGUCUGUCCUCCCGUCUAAAAAACGGGAGUUAGCAAGGGCCGGGCAAGACCGGUGCCAGCCGCCGCGGUAAUACCGGCGGCUCGAGUGGUGGCCGAUAUUAUUGAGUCUAAAGGGUCCGUAGCCGGCUUUGCAAUCUUUUGGGAAAUCCAGCGGCUUAACCGUUGGUCGUCCGGGAGAUACUACAUUGCUUGGGACUGGGAGAGGUAGGAGGUACUCAGGGGGUAGGAGUGAAAUCCUGUAAUCCUUUGGGGACCACCGGUGGCGAAGGCGUCCUACCAGAACAGGUCCGACGGUGAGGGACGAAAGCUAGGGGCACGAACCGGAUUAGAUACCCGGGUAGUCCUAGCCGUAAACGAUGCUCGCUAGGUGUCACAACAAUCGUGAAUUGUUGUGGUGCCGUAGGGAAGCCGUGAAGCGAGCCACUUGGGAAGUACGACCGCAAGGUUGAAACUUAAAGGAAUUGGCGGGGGAGCAC
This 792-nucleotide ribosomal RNA is filed under the name uncultured archaeon. RNAcentral describes it as "bacterial SSU rRNA". It matches the Rfam family "Archaeal small subunit ribosomal RNA", at positions 85 to 879 of the family's 1478-position model. The record is from RNAcentral.